RNAcentral lists this small nucleolar RNA (103 nucleotides) under Sungouiella intermedia. The record is from RNAcentral. Lineage: Eukaryota; Fungi; Ascomycota; Pichiomycetes; Serinales; Metschnikowiaceae.
AUGUACACAUGUUGCAGUGAAUAUGAUGAACAGAGUGCAUUUGGCUCGAGACUUUCUGUCGGUGUGGAAAAAACCUAGCUACCUUAUUUUUUUUUGUCUGACA